UCAGUCGGCCGGGCGGCCGCGCCGGCGGGAACCGAAAGGUUGCUGGUGAGGAAAGUCCGGGCUCCAGGGAAAUACGGUGCCGGCUAACAGCCGGCGGGGGCGACCCCAGGGAAAGUGCCACAGAAAGCAAACCGCCUUCCGCUCGUCGGAAGGUAAGGGUGAAAGGGUGGGGUAAGAGCCCACCGCGCGACCGGCAACGGAAGCGGCAAGGUAAACCCCACCGGGAGCAAAACCGAAUAGGAACAACACGAGGGGCAACCCUCAGGGCAGUUCCCGCCCCGUUGUUCGGGUUGGUUGCGUGAGGCGUACGGCAACGUCCGCCCAAGAUGAAUGGCCGCCACGUUCCUGUUCCGCAAGGGCAGGGGCCAUACAGAACCCGGCUUACAGGCCGGCUGGCUUU
RNAcentral lists this RNase P RNA (400 nucleotides) under Aminobacter sp. J15. RNAcentral describes it as "Bacterial RNase P class A". It matches the Rfam family "Bacterial RNase P class A". From Rfam's summary of the family: Ribonuclease P (RNase P) is a ubiquitous endoribonuclease, found in archaea, bacteria and eukarya as well as chloroplasts and mitochondria. Its best characterised activity is the generation of mature 5'-ends of tRNAs by cleaving the 5'-leader elements of precursor-tRNAs. Cellular RNase Ps are ribonucleoproteins. Lineage: Bacteria; Pseudomonadati; Pseudomonadota; Alphaproteobacteria; Hyphomicrobiales; Phyllobacteriaceae. The record is from Rfam by way of RNAcentral. RNAcentral also lists the same sequence under 1 other name.